AUACGUAGGGGGCUAGCGUUAUCCGGAAUUACUGGGCGUAAAGGGUGCGUAGGUGGUUUCUUAAGUCAGAAGUGAAAGGCUACGGCUCAACCGUAGUAAGCUUUUGAAACUAAGAGACUUGAGUGCAGGAGAGGAGAGUAGAAUUCCUAGUGUUGCGGUGAAAUGCGUAGAUAUUAGGAGGAAUACCAGUUGCGAAGGCGGCUCUCUGGACUGUAACUGACACUGAGGCACGAAAGCGUUGGGAGCAAACAGGAUUAGAUACCCUGGUAGUCCACGCCGUAAACGAUGAGUACUAGCUGUCGGGGGUUACCCCCCUCGGUGGCGCAGCUAACGCAUUAAGUACUCCGCCUGGGAAGUACGCUCGCAAGAGUGAAACUCAAAGGAAUUGACGGGG
This 394-nucleotide ribosomal RNA is filed under the name uncultured bacterium. RNAcentral's name for it is "partial 16S ribosomal RNA". It matches the Rfam family "Bacterial small subunit ribosomal RNA", at positions 523 to 918 of the family's 1533-position model. The record is from RNAcentral.